GACGAACGCUGGCGGCGUGCUUAACACAUGCAAGUCGAACGGAAAGGCCCUGCUUUUGUGGGGUGCUCGAGUGGCGAACGGGUGAGUAACACGUGAGUAACCUGCCCUUGACUUUGGGAUAACUUCAGGAAACUGGGGCUAAUACCGGAUAGGAGCUCCUGCUGCAUGGUGGGGGUUGGAAAGUUUCGGCGGUUGGGGAUGGACUCGCGGCUUAUCAGCUUGUUGGUGGGGUAGUGGCUUACCAAGGCUUUGACGGGUAGCCGGCCUGAGAGGGUGACCGGCCACAUUGGGACUGAGAUACGGCCCAGACGACUACGGGAGGCAGCAGUGGGGAAUAUUGCACAAUGGGCGGAAGCCUGAUGCAGCAACGCCGCGUGCGGGAUGACGGCCUUCGGGUUGUAAACCGCUUUCGCCUGUGACGAAGCGUGAGUGACGGUAAUGGGUAAAGAAGCACCGGCUAACUACGUG
This 468-nucleotide ribosomal RNA is filed under the name uncultured bacterium. Its description in RNAcentral is "partial 16S ribosomal RNA". It matches the Rfam family "Bacterial small subunit ribosomal RNA", at positions 28 to 507 of the family's 1533-position model. The record is from RNAcentral.